Molecule: long non-coding RNA, 511 nt
Organism: Drosophila ananassae
Lineage: Eukaryota; Metazoa; Arthropoda; Insecta; Diptera; Drosophilidae
Exons: 2
Source: RefSeq, a predicted model, not a curated record
UGUCAACGAACUUAUAAGUAGCUCGAAAAGUAGCCUUAAUUUUUGUUCAAAACUAGGUCUAAAAUUAUCAAAUUUGAGAGAAACAAUUCGAAUUCGCUUUAAUGCCAGGAGGAACUGUAAUACCGAACUUUUUUCACUUCAAACCCCCAUACAACUUAAUGGAAUUGGAUAGUGAAACUUUGCAGCAACACAAUAUGCAUCGAAAAACCAUUCAUUGAUUGGACUGGAUGGAUGGGGAAAUACCCUAUAACUGCUUAAGUGAUACACUUUCACCACUUAACAAGUUCGCCAAUGUAAUUGUACGUUGUGAAGUAAAAAAGGAAUUUUUAUCCAAGUUUCUAUCGAAUAAUAUUAUCGAUAUAUAUAUUGGAAAGAAAGAGUUUACUAGCUGUAAAAUUUACGAAAAAGUGAAGCUAAGAUGUGCUCUAAAUAAUUUAUUUAGACUGUUUGUAAUUUUAGAAAACUGCAAUUAUGAUAUAUAUUUAAUUGGAAAUUCAUAUGUAUAAAUUAA